AUGAGCAGCCGCCGCCCACGCUCACCGGCGGCCGCCCCGCCGCUGGAGGACGACAACCUCCUCUCCGAGAUCCUCCUCCGCCUCUCGCCAGAUCCGUCCUCCCUCCCUCGCGCCUCCCUCGUCUCCAAGCGCUGGCUCGGCCUCAUCUCUGACCCGGGCUUCUCCCGCCGCUUCCUUCUCCACCACCGCCGCAACCCUCCUCUCCUCGGUUUCUUCAACCCUUUCAAUUUCAAACCUGUAAUGGAUCCCCCCAAUCGUGUCCCGGAUGGCCGCUUCCCCUCGUGCGUCGACGAGGACGACGGCCUGGGCUGCUUCAUACCCUUGGGAUGCCGCCAUGGCCUCGUACUCAUCUUCCUCAAAUCGCAGAAGCAGAUCCUGGUGCGGGACCCCUUCAACGGCGAGAAGCACCGCCUACCUGUCCCCCCCUUGUUCGAUGCGGAAGUGACCCCGAUCAGCGGGUCGGUGUUUCGUGCUGCGGGAGACAUCCAACACUUCCAGGUGGUCUUGGUAGGCACAGAGGUCGACAAACAACAACACACGCGGGCAAUCGCCUGUGUUUACUCAUCAGAGACUGGCGGUUGGGGUGAUAGAAUCUCAACACCGCUGCCAUCCAGAGCUUCUAUGGGUGAACUUCCUAACAAGAUUAACAUGUACUUCACUGUCAGUGUUCUAGUUGGGCAUUCCCUUUAUUGGUUGCUUAGGCACAUAUCGGCAGGAACUUGCACAUUGGAUGGGAUCCUUAAGUUUGAUUUGGAGAGGCAGAUCCUAGCUGUGAUACCAGCGCCAGUGGAUAUUGCCAAGAAUAAUAUUGGUCAACUCCAGGUUAUGCGCGCAGAUGGUGGUGGCCUUGGUAUUCUAUUUCUUUCAAAAUUAAGGGCUCAGUUAUGGAAGAGGGAGACUAAUUCUGAUGGUGUUGCUUCAUGGUUGUUGGGAAGAACUAUUGAACUGGAUAAGCUACUUUCCAUGAAUUCAAAGAAGUAUAGAGGGCCUGUAAUGAUACAAGGUUUUGCUGAGUACAAUAAUGUGGUGUUCCUACGGACAACUAUUGGUGACUUCAAGAUCCAGCUUGAGUCACUGCAGGUCAAGGAAGUUCCCAAUAGCCGCAUCUUGACUCUCUAUUAUCCAUUCGAAAGUGUCUAUGCUGCAGGUAUCUAG
RNAcentral lists this ribosomal RNA (1155 nucleotides) under Triticum aestivum (bread wheat). RNAcentral's name for it is "partial small subunit ribosomal RNA". The record is from RNAcentral. Lineage: Eukaryota; Viridiplantae; Streptophyta; Magnoliopsida; Poales; Poaceae.